UAACGAUGACAACAACAGCAGUAAAACA
RNAcentral lists this non-coding RNA (28 nucleotides) under Homo sapiens (human). The record is from RNAcentral. Lineage: Eukaryota; Metazoa; Chordata; Mammalia; Primates; Hominidae.